This 107-nucleotide transfer RNA is filed under the name [Leptolyngbya] sp. PCC 7376. RNAcentral describes it as "tRNA-Und (NNN) (tRNA-Und-NNN-1-1)". It matches the Rfam family "tRNA". From Rfam's summary of the family: Transfer RNA (tRNA) molecules are approximately 80 nucleotides in length. Their secondary structure includes four short double-helical elements and three loops (D, anti-codon, and T loops). Lineage: Bacteria; Bacillati; Cyanobacteriota; Cyanophyceae; Chroococcales; Geminocystaceae. The record is from RNAcentral.
GGGCAGGUAGCUCAGUGGGUAGAGCAGUUUUACCUUUUCGUUUUCUUACCCCUUUCGGGUCGAAGAAUGAGGAUUACCGGUCGGGAGUUCGAAUCUCCCCCUGUCCA